GCCUUAUAGGUAAAACUCUUACAUUUCCUAUAGUGCUUUGUUCAUUACCGAGUUUAGAAAAAAUAUCUGGACCCUCCAAUGAAAAUUUCUUAAGUAUGCCCCUGUUUAUUAUACUACUUAUUAGUUAUUAUUAUUUACUUUUGCAUGCUUUAUAUUACUUUUUAUAUUUUUUAAGCACUCAAAGUACAUCAACUUUUUUAUAUUAUAUACCUAAACAACUGCUUCUUUUAAUUCAACAUGUACAAUUUUUAUUUUAGAGGGUCGAUGAUUCUACGACACAAAGUGGUAGUAAAAAUGUUAAUCAAGGUAAUCAGCAAGUUAAAAACAAUGGAUUGUUUUUUGGAAAGAGACCAUAAAAUGAGAACACAAAACGUUUUUUUUUUUUGAUAUAUUUAACAUUAACAAUUUUAAAAGCAUUUCUUACGCUAUUAAAUAUUUAAACGUAUUAAAAUACAUUUUUAAAAACAGUUUUAAAACAAUCUCAAAAAUUAUACUUUGAUUAUAUUAUAAGAUUAAUAUUAAAUUACAUCUAAUUUGAUGAGUUGGACACUCAUCAUUUUAUUUUUUGAAUGUAUUUUUAUAUUGAUUUAUAUUCACAAUUAUUACAAUAUUAUUGAACCUUUUAAAUGUUGUUAAGUUGAUUCUCAUUCUGUAGAUGAUAAUGCUACAAUAUUGUUAUACCUUUGUUUUUUUUUAUUUCAAACUAUUAUUGACCUUAAAUUUAAUCUUAUUGUAAGGUAUGUUUCAAGAAUAAAGCGUACAAUUUGUAUUAUCUCACAAAAAAACUAUUGUGAAUUUACUCUCAA
Long non-coding RNA from Acyrthosiphon pisum (pea aphid), 806 nucleotides. RefSeq lists it as uncharacterized. Lineage: Eukaryota; Metazoa; Arthropoda; Insecta; Hemiptera; Aphididae. The record is from RefSeq and is a predicted model, not a curated record. The transcript has 2 exons.